This 5866-nucleotide long non-coding RNA is filed under the name Citrus sinensis (sweet orange). RNAcentral describes it as "long non-coding RNA (CSIN_LNC002422)". The record is from RNAcentral. Lineage: Eukaryota; Viridiplantae; Streptophyta; Magnoliopsida; Sapindales; Rutaceae.
CCAACUCCACCAAGCCCACUUGAACCACCGAGCCCACUAGCACCACCGAGGCCACCGACUCCACCAAUUCCUCCAAGCCCACCAGCACCACCGAGGCCAGUAAUCCCACCAAGACCUCCAACUCCACCAAACGGAAGCCCAUUAGAACCAAUGCCGGAGAAGCCACCAACACCACCGUAUGUUAGAAAGUUCUUUUGAUCAUCAAGGCCAGCAUCAGUGGGCGCACUUUUGGCAGUGUUAUGAACCACUUGAUCAUCAUGAUCACUAGGCGUAUUUCUUGCACUAGUGUGAACCGCUGCUACAGCAAGAACAAGCAUGACAUUGGCACACCACUUUGCCAUCUCUCUCAAAGAUUAUUAUUAUUUGAUUACUAUUAUGAAUUUUUCUUCUUAGUACAUGUGAACUAUUGUUGCGGGAGUCUCCUUAUAAAGGCUAAGAGGGCAUUGGGGAGGUAGUUGUGGGUAGUAAAUAGAAUUGAAUGCGGGCAACUUAGCUGGCACACUCGCUCAUAAGGUCUGCUGUUUGAAAUAUAUAUUUUCAAGGAUUUGUGCUUAGAGUAAAAUUGUUAUAGGAGUCAUCGUAAUGGUUUAAACGCCUGCUGUACGGCCAAGGCGGAUGUACGGUACAGCAGAAAUUUUGUUUUCAGAAGUACUGCAAGUUUUAAAAACAAUUAUGGACGUUUGAUAAAUUUUACUAUUAAACUGCUGAGAGUAAGUAAAUGAUUAAAAUAUAAAUAAUAUAGGAUAAAAUUUACUUAUACAUGUGAAAACACGUACACACAAUAUUUUUAAUUUUGUAUGAUGAUAAUUUUAACUAAAAAUAAAAUUUAUAAUAUAUAUUGAUUUUAUUUUUUAUCGUAAACAAUUGAUAAUUAAAUUUAUAAUAUAGUGAAACAAAUUUAAUAAUAAAUCGACCAACAAAUAUUGAUGAAUCAUAAUAAAAAUUUACUAAAAUAUUGGUUUUGUUUCCAAUUGAAUAAGAAUAAUUUUGGGUUUAGGUAAUAAUUUUAAAGAUAUUGAUGGAAUUGUAUUAAAGGAUAAAAUUGAUUUUUAAAAUCAGAAUCUAAAAGCUACUUCUUACUUACUUUUCAAAAUCAUCUGUAGUAGAGGCUGAUUUUGACAAAAGUGAUUUUGAUUUUUUUUUUUUACCAAACACUAAAAUUAACUUUUAGAUUUUUAAAAUUAGUUUUAAAUCUCCUAAAAGCAAUCCCAAAUAGAGCCUAACUCUAUUAUAAAUUCUUAAUUAAUAGCUCAUCUAAUAUUUGGUGUUAAAACAUGGACAAAAUAUCACAAAUUGGUAGGUAAAUUUGGACAUUUCAUUUCCACGACAUAUAGUCAAGUUUAAGGCUGUGGCCCGACAAAUUAAUGACCUUACUUUGCUUAGUGUAACGUAAUGCAUGAGCUUCGAUAACUUCAUAUGUAAACUUUAGUUGCUUUCGUUAAAGUUCUAUAACAUCAGUCAUCUCCAUUUAAAAGACAGAAGAAGAAGAAGAUAAAACACGCGAUUUAAUUAUUUACGUCGAAUAUCUCUGAAGUAGAGAAUUACAUUACAAUAACAUACCAAAAGCUCUCAAAACUAAAACUCAAAAGCAAACAGUAACUGAAACCAAAGUAAACGAACUAUCACACGAACAUGGCAUUAAAACUAAACUUUCUUAAUAACGCGCACGGGAAUAACGUGCACGGGAAACCCUCAAACAGGAAAAACCUUGAUUAAUUAAAAGCAAGUAAAGAAGCCCUAAUGUCUUCUAAGGCUCCAACUAUUUCAAGGGAAAGGAAGCACUCCAGUGCCAAUGCCAACUCCACCGGCAGAACCACCACCAACGCCGCCACCAGCACCACCUCCAACGCCGCCGCCACCGCCAACGCCGCCACCCACGCCACCAACUCCACCAAGCCCACUUGAACCACCGAGCCCACUAGCACCACCGAGGCCACCGACUCCACCAAUUCCUCCAAGCCCACCAGCACCACCGAGGCCAGUAAUCCCACCAAGACCUCCAACUCCACCAAACGGAAGCCCAUUAGAACCAAUGCCGGAGAAGCCACCAACACCACCGUAUGUUAGAAAGUUCUUUUGAUCAUCAAGGCCAGCAUCAGUGGGCGCACUUUUGGCAGUGUUAUGAACCACUUGAUCAUCAUGAUCACUAGGCGUAUUUCUUGCACUAGUGUGAACCGCUGCUACAGCAAGAACAAGCAUGACAUUGGCACACCACUUUGCCAUCUCUCUCAAAGAUUAUUAUUAUUUGAUUACUAUUAUGAAUUUUUCUUCUUAGUACAUGUGAACUAUUGUUGCGGGAGUCUCCUUAUAAAGGCUAAGAGGGCAUUGGGGAGGUAGUUGUGGGUAGUAAAUAGAAUUGAAUGCGGGCAACUUAGCUGGCACACUCGCUCAUAAGGUCUGCUGUUUGAAAUAUAUAUUUUCAAGGAUUUGUGCUUAGAGUAAAAUUGUUAUAGGAGUCAUCGUAAUGGUUUAAACGCUUGGGGUACCAGCUGAAAGAAAGUUACUGCGAUGGCCAGAGUGGCAAAUGCAGAAAUAAACAUGCAUGCCAGAUAUGGUGGUGACAAAUGAAAUGCUGAUUAGGGAUGUGGCGUUCGGGCAUGUGAUAUGCAGAGAAACAUUUGCCCAACCAAUCAAGUAAUUACAUUUGGUUGGAAGAAAAGGGCCGAUGUGAAGUGAUUGACUCAAUUCUGGGCAUUAUUAAUUUCCUGGACCAUUUCCAAUGACAUGAAAAAUUUUAAACUGUGUGUGACAAGGAACCUUACCUUUUGAGUUUUGAGAGGAAAUGCAAAUCCUAAUUAAGCUGUGAAAAAGUAAAAUUAAAUGUUCUUGCGUUGCGGAGAAUUAAGUAAAAAGUCAUCGAGCCUUUUCACUGAGCUGUAGUCCAUAACUCAUAAUACGUAGUAGCACGUGGUCAAUUCUAAACAUCAAUUUUUUUUUAUUAAAAAAAACUCUAAACAUUGAAUUAAUUUGCAAGAAAUAUUUCUUUUUUUUUUUUCAUCUUGGUAUUAGACUUCUAUAUCAAACAUUUUCUACUGUCAUUAUACUUUUUAUUCUACUAAUUAAUUUGCUUAUCUAAUCUAAAAGAAAAAAAAUUCUUAUCUCAACUAAAUUUGCGUGUUUUGGUUACUUUACUCACUCACUUUGUCAAUCUAGUUUUCUCUAACUAAAGACUUUUAGUUAACAUGUACUGACACAUUAAUUUAAUGGUAAAAUCUGUCCAAUCCUUUGGGACCAUCGUAAUUCAAGAGUUUGGAAAAAGUUAAACACUAUUUGCACACAAAAUUAUAAAUAAAAAUGAAUUAAUAAAUUUGUACAAUUUUAUAUGCAAGUAGCAUUACUCAUGGCAAAAUUUGAAGCAGUUAAUGGUUUUAUAUAGGGUAAGUUGAUUAUUAAAGAAUUAGAUUGUUUUGUUAAAUCUGAUUGGUGGUUAUUAAAUAUAAAGUUUCCAUUCAAUAUUUUAAUUUACUGUUGAGUUGCAUUAAAUAUUGGUUGGUCAAUGGAAGUCAGCUGCUAAAUUCAAUGUCGACCUACAUUCAAUCUCUACCUAACAAGUUUAAUUUGGGAUCGGAUACCUGCACAUUCUAAGUCCACCCCAAAUAUUACACUCCACCAUUCCCAACUCUUUACACCUAAAUUGAGAAAAUCGUUUGGAGAAAAUAUUGGUCAACACUAAUUGAAUCGUUGACUUAAACUAUAGGAAAUAAUAGAACAUUUACAACUGAGAAAAGUUUAGUAACACGACACAUAAAUUCUCCACCAGUUUUAUUUUUUCCUCUAUGUAUAGUAGUGUCUUUCAGCUAUAGGAUCAUUUUUCUAAUAUAUAAAUUAUCAUUAAAAUACAUGCUUAUUGAUAACGUAUUAUCAGUUUUGAUAUUCAGUUAUUGAUUCACCGAUCAUCCAAUUGAAGAAACGUGUUUUCAUUUCUUGAAUAAAACAUUAUACACUGAGAGUUAUUUAUAGAUGCAGAUGCUACAUUUUUUCAAAGAUUACAUAUGUAAAUACGGAAGGAAAUAGGUCUGUGUUGUGCGCGAGAGCUGGGCUGACGCUGGUGCUGCGUUGCGUUGCGCGCGCGGGACUGAUGUACUGCGCGAGGGUGAUUGCUGGAUUGAUUUGCGCUGUGCGCGCGAGCUGGAGCUGAGGAUCUGCGUUGCUAGGCGUUACUGCUGCUGCUUCGCGGGAUGUGUUGCGUGCACGGUUGCUGCUGAUUUCGCACAAUGGUGAUGGCUGGGGCUUGCUGCGUUGCACGCGGCUGCUUUCGCUGGUGGGACUUCGUUGCGCGCUGCUGGGCUGCGAGACACGGGAUGCUGGUGUUGCGCUCACGAGAUGGUGCGUUUUCCGGCGGGCUGGUUUGCUGCUGGUGUGCUGCAAGCGGCUGGAGAAGAAAACAAGUUCUGGAAAAUUAGGGAUUUUGUGAACAGUGAAUAGUGAACAGUGAUUUUCGAUUUUUGGUUUUUUUUUAAAUAAAUAAACAUAAUCAUUAAAGAACAUAUAUGGGAAUUAAAUAAAUAAAUAAAAUAAUUAUUUCAUUGAAUAGGGUUUCAUCUUUAACCUCAGUAUAAGAAAAUUAGCUGGACAUACUUAAAUUGGGAGCAACAAAAAAAAUAAAAUCAGCCAUGGGAAGCCGAAAUAUUGCUGCUGCAACUGGUCUCUUCCAACCUGACAUACUUGAAUUGGGAGCAACAAAAGAAAUAAAAUCAGCCAUGGGAAGCUUCCUUUUCCAAUUAUGAAACAAAGCUUCCAUAAUAACGCCAGCCAUUAAUUCCACUUUUGAAAGUCAAGUGUGGGCCCCAUUUAAAUUGCUUUCCCCUUUUGCAAUGCUAUGGACGUGCAACUCAAUUGGAGAAUUGAAAUUCUUUUUCAAUGCAAAUUGCUCUUAGCUCUUAACUCUAUCACAGCUUCAACUAAUAUUUCUCUAAAUUAUUAUUUUUUUUGCACUUUUUAUUUCCAAUCUCCAAUUAAUUUCCUAUUCAAUAAAACAAUUCAAUUAAUUAAAAAUAACAAAUAAAAUUAACUAGCAAAUAUACAAUAAAGGGUAAAAUAUGUAUAUAAAUUAUGCUCAUCACAUUGCUUAAUAUUUAUUAUUAUGGUUGGUUGAAUUAUAUACAUGGCAAUUAAUGAAUGAAAAUACAGGUGCUCCUGAAUCCCAAAACAUUUCCACGACAUAUAGUCAAGUUUAAGGCUGUGGCCCGACAAAUUAAUGACCUUACUUUGCUUAGUGUAACAUAAUGCAUGAGCUUCGAUAACUUCAUAUGUAAACUUUAGUUGCUUUAGCUAAGGUUCUAUAACAUCAGUCAUCUCCAUUUAAAAGACAGAAGAAGAAGAUAAAACACGCGAUUAAAUUAUUUACGUCGAAUAUCUCUGAAGUAGAGAAUUACAUUACGAUAACAUACCAGAAGCUCUCAAAGCUAAAAAUCAAAAGCAAACAGUAACUGAAGCCGAAGUAAACGAACUAUCACACGAACAUGACAUUAAACUAAACUUUCUUAAUAACGUGCACGGGAAACCCUCAAACAGGAAAAACCUUGAUUAAUUAAAAGCAAGUAAAGAAGCCCUAAUGUCUUCUAAGGCUCCAACUAUUUCAAUGGAAAGGAAGCACUCCGGUGCCAGUGCCAACUCCACCGGCAGAACCACCACCAACGCCGCCACCAGCACCACCGCCAACGCCGCCACCCACGCCACCAACUCCACCAAGCCCACUUGAACCACCGAGACCACCGACUCCACCAAUUCCUCCAAGCCCACCAGCACCACCGAGGCCAGUAACGCCAGCAAGACCUCCAACUCCACCAAGCGGAAGCCCAUUAGAACCAAUGCCGGAGAAGCCACUGACACCACCGUAUGUUAGAAAGUUCUUUUGAUCAUCAAG